Molecule: ribosomal RNA, 441 nt
Filed under: uncultured bacterium
Lineage: Bacteria
Description: bacterial SSU rRNA
Rfam family: Bacterial small subunit ribosomal RNA
Source: RNAcentral
AACGCGAAGAACCUUACCUGGGCUCGAAAUGUAGUGGAAUCGGGUGGAAACAUCCGCGUCUCGCAAGAGACUGCUAUAUAGGUGCUGCAUGGCUGUCGUCAGCUCGUGUCGUGAGAUGUUGGGUUAAGUCCCGCAACGAGCGCAACCCUUGUCCUUAGUUGCCAUCAUUAAGUUGGGAACUCUAAGGAGACCGCCGGUGACAAACCGGAGGAAGGUGGGGAUGACGUCAAGUCAUCAUGGCCUUUAUGGCCGGGGCUACACACGUGCUACAAUGGCAGGUACAGAGGGAAGCCAACUCGCGAGAGGGAGCCAAUCCCAGAAAGCCUGUCGUAGUCCGGAUCGGAGUCUGCAACUCGACUCUGUGAAGUCGGAAUCGCUAGUAAUCGCAGAUCAGCAUUGCUGCGGUGAAUACGUUCCCGGGCCUUGUACACACCGCUAGUC